GACGAACGCUGGCGGCGUGCUUAACACAUGCAAGUCGAACGGAAAGGCCCCUUUGGGGGUACUCGAGUGGCGAACGGGUGAGUAACACGUGAGUAACCUGCCCUUGACUUCGGGAUAACUUCAGGAAACUGGGGCUAAUACCGGAUAGGAAUCCUUGCUGCAUGGGGGGGGUUGGAAAGCUUCGGCGGUUUUGGAUGGACUCGCGGCUUAUCAGCUUGUUGGUGGGGUAGUGGCUUACCAAGGCUUUGACGGGUAGCCGGCCUGAGAGGGCGACCGGCCACAUUGGGACUGAGAUACGGCCCAGACUCCUACGGGAGGCAGCAGUGGGGAAUAUUGCACAAUGGGCGGAAGCCUGAUGCAGCAACGCCGCGUGCGGGAUGACGGCCUUCGGGUUGUAAACCGCUUUCAGCAGGGGCGAAGCUUGUGGUGACGGUACCUGCAGAAGAAGCACCGGCUAACUACGUG
RNAcentral lists this ribosomal RNA (465 nucleotides) under uncultured bacterium. RNAcentral describes it as "partial 16S ribosomal RNA". It matches the Rfam family "Bacterial small subunit ribosomal RNA", at positions 28 to 507 of the family's 1533-position model. The record is from RNAcentral.